GCCGGCGUGGCGUAGUGGUUAGCUCAUCUGCCUAGUGAGCAGAAGACCUGGGUUCGAAUCCCGGCCUUGGUA
This 72-nucleotide transfer RNA is filed under the name Schistocerca americana (American grasshopper). RNAcentral describes it as "tRNA-Thr". It matches the Rfam family "tRNA". Rfam says of the family: Transfer RNA (tRNA) molecules are approximately 80 nucleotides in length. Their secondary structure includes four short double-helical elements and three loops (D, anti-codon, and T loops). Lineage: Eukaryota; Metazoa; Arthropoda; Insecta; Orthoptera; Acrididae. The record is from RNAcentral.